Molecule: long non-coding RNA, 423 nt
Organism: Chelonus insularis
Lineage: Eukaryota; Metazoa; Arthropoda; Insecta; Hymenoptera; Braconidae
Exons: 3
Source: RefSeq, a predicted model, not a curated record
UAUGGCACGUAGGACAUUCAAACUGUGGCUCAACUCCACAUUCAAAUCUAAUGUGUCGAUUGAGGGAGUGAAGGCGAGUACAGGUCCACGAAAUGAUUCACCAGCAGGUCCCAUCGAAUCCCCUGGAGAAGUGUCUUGUGCUGAUUCUACCGUUGCAUCAUUUAAAUUACAUGACUGUGUAGUCUGGUCCAUUACUGGUGGAACAAGAUUUUCAGUCAUCUGCUUCUCAGCCACAAGCCGAAGGUAGAGACUCUGAUACUGAUAAUACCACUCAAUAGCUGCUCCCGGUUGAGUUUAAAUCAGCGUUGGACCAUUUAUUGUUGAUUGACAUAAACAUAAGGACAAACACAUUUGGGGUCUAUUUUCUCGUACGUUUCGACAUUUACCAUUCACCAGGAAGCACCACAAAUAACUUUUAUGGGG